Molecule: transfer RNA, 75 nt
Filed under: Salmonella enterica subsp. salamae
Lineage: Bacteria; Pseudomonadati; Pseudomonadota; Gammaproteobacteria; Enterobacterales; Enterobacteriaceae
Description: tRNA-Met
Rfam family: tRNA
About the family: Transfer RNA (tRNA) molecules are approximately 80 nucleotides in length. Their secondary structure includes four short double-helical elements and three loops (D, anti-codon, and T loops). Further hydrogen bonds mediate the characteristic L-shaped molecular structure. tRNAs have two regions of fundamental functional importance: the anti-codon, which is responsible for specific mRNA codon recognition, and the 3' end, to which the tRNAs corresponding amino acid is attached (by aminoacyl-tRNA synthetases). tRNAs cope with the degeneracy of the genetic code in two manners: having more than one tRNA (with a specific anti-codon) for a particular amino acid; and 'wobble' base-pairing, i.e. permitting non-standard base-pairing at the 3rd anti-codon position.
Source: RNAcentral
GCCCCUUUAACUCAGUGGUAAGAGCUGGCGGCUCAUAACCAUUUUGUCGCUGGUUCAGGUCCGGCAGGGGCGCCA